GCUCAGGUGGUGGAAUGGUAGACACGCUACUUUGAGGUGGUAGUGCCUUUUUGGUGUGGGGGUUCAAGUCCCCCCCUGAGCA
Molecule: transfer RNA, 82 nt
Filed under: Leptonema sp. (in: bacteria)
Lineage: Bacteria; Pseudomonadati; Spirochaetota; Leptospiria; Leptospirales; Leptospiraceae
Description: tRNA-Leu
Rfam family: tRNA
About the family: Transfer RNA (tRNA) molecules are approximately 80 nucleotides in length. Their secondary structure includes four short double-helical elements and three loops (D, anti-codon, and T loops).
Source: RNAcentral